GAGAAAGAGUGAGCCAAGGGAGUCAUUAACUGCAUCAAGGUGCUAUGAAAGCCAGGCCCGAAAGACCACGACUCAGUCUCCUCGUUCUAAUCGUGUUCCCCACCAAGACCCACAACCCCCAACCCACACUCCCGUCACCCUAAUGUGAUGAUCCUUUCUGUAAGGUGACAGAAGGGAGUUUGCAGACAUGGUUCAGUGAAAAUUGAGGAGAUUGCCUUGAAACUGGCCUGCUGGGACAAGAGCAUCAGAGUCCAAAAAAAAAGCUUACGAGAGAAGCAGGGGAGACAGCUUUGAAGCUACUGCCCAGUCAGCCUUUAAAAAGGAACAAAGGAGCACAGGCAGCCUACAGAAGCCGGAAAGGGCAAACGACUGGGUUCUUGAAUCUAGGGCUUGACCUCUAGAACUGUAACGAGAAUUGGGAUGGUGUCCAUGCGGUUUGUACUGACUUGUCACAACAGCCAUAAGAAACCAGUAGUGUGGAGAAUAAAGAGGACAGCUCCCUGGUGCGUUCUCCUUUGUCCAGGAAGAGAGGGGACAGUUUAUCAGGCUACCUCACAGACUGAGCACUGUGACUACAGUCCAAUGGAGUGGCCGUCCACAUUUAGAGGAAAAUGUCAAAUGGCCAAACUGCACGGGUCUGUGACUGAUGAGAGAAGCAGAGAUGUGAAGGGCAUCAAAGAGAAAGAAUAUAACUUCCACUUUUAUGUUAGACCCAGCAGCUGGUAACAGCAACCAUUAGCAAAUCCAACGAGUUUCACCCAACACUUGAGAAUUAAUAGAAGAUGUGCCACCUUCUGUCCAGAGAACUAUGCUUGUCGCUCAGUUGUUCUAGCAGUUCAGUUUGGAGGAGAGGUAGACACACGUGGGUAGAUAACUAGCUGCCAUAAAUGGGUUUUGGUUUUUGGGGGGUUUUGGGAGGGUUCUGUUGGUUUUGGUUUGUUUGUUAAGGCACAGGUAUACUAUGGCAAACUGUAUAAGGGCGAAAGAGUUAAUAGACCAAGAUUUAGAGCCAGGACAGGCAGUUACCUUCCUAAGAAAACCAAGUUCGAAUUGAUUUAAAUGCUCUUUCUCCAUACUAUUAAGACAAUGUCCAUGCACGGCAGCAUUUACUCUACUAGUGUCGCUUGCCUCAUGCCAGGCACACGGUUCCUAUGCCUGUGCUUAGGAAUCAGAAAGCUGCCUCACGAGAGCUUGCAUAAUUACUCAAGAUCACAAAAUUAGUAAGAGGAUUCCCGAUGCUACAACCCAGGAACUACCCAUUCAUACCGUGCAGUCCCGGUUCACUUGCAGGGGGGCUAGAAAACAUGGCUUACACAGCUCAGCACUGUCUGUGUUACAGGGCUGCUGUGCGUGAUCCCAUUCCGCUCCUUACUUGAACCUGAGAGCAAACUUUUAGAGUUGGAAGCUGCAAGUCUUUUAACCACUCGUGAUGAGCAGUGUGUCUCGCCUGUGAGUGAUGUAAGUUAGACAACUGAACUGCAUAACCAUGCUUCCUUCCCUCUUCGUGCCCCUGUCCCAAAGCCCCGAGGAAAUGUGUUCACUUGGCAUUUGUAACUGAGUGGAUUCGUAUGCAUGUCUCUGCGUUG
RNAcentral lists this small RNA (1586 nucleotides) under Rattus norvegicus (Norway rat). RNAcentral's name for it is "uncharacterized LOC102548069". Lineage: Eukaryota; Metazoa; Chordata; Mammalia; Rodentia; Muridae. The record is from RNAcentral.